UGGGGAAUAUUGCACAAUGGGCGCAAGCCCGAUGCAGCAACGCCGCGUGAGGGACGACGGCCUUCGGGUUGUAAACCUCUUUUAGUAGGGAAGAAGCGAAAGUGACGGUACCUGCAGAAAAAGCACCGGCUAACUACGUGCCAGCAGCCGCGGUAAUACGUAGGGUGCGAGCGUUGUCCGGAAUUAUUGGGCGUAAAGAGCUCGUAGGCGGUCUGUCGCGUCUGCUGUGAAAACCCGAGGCUCAACCUCGGGCCUGCAGUGGGUACGGGCAGACUAGAGUGCGGUAGGGGAGAAUGGAAUUCCUGGUGUAGCGGUGGAAUGCGCAGAUAUCAGGAGGAACACCGAUGGCGAAGGCAGUUCUCUGGGCCGUAACUGACGCUGAGGAGCGAAAGCGUGGGGAGCGAACAGGAUUAGAUACCCUGGUAGUCCACGCCGUAAACGUUGGGCGCUAGAUGUGGGGACCAUUCCACGGUUUCCGUGUCGCAGCUAACGCAUUAAGCGCCCCGCCUGGGGAGUACGGCCGCAAGGCUAAAACUU
Molecule: ribosomal RNA, 537 nt
Filed under: uncultured bacterium
Lineage: Bacteria
Description: partial 16S ribosomal RNA
Rfam family: Bacterial small subunit ribosomal RNA
Source: RNAcentral